AUUGAACGCUGGCGGCAGGCCUAACACAUGCAAGUCGAGCGGAUGAAGGGAGCUUGCUCCUGGAUUCAGCGGCGGACGGGUGAGUAAUGCCUAGGAAUCUGCCUGGUUGUGGGGGAUAACGUCCGGAAACGGGCGCUAAUACCGCAUACGUCCUGCGGCAGAAACAGGGGGAUCUUCGGACCUUAUGCGAUCAGAUGAGCCUAGGUCGGAUUAGCUAGUUGGUGGGGUAAAGGCCUACCAAGGCGACGAUCCGUAACUGGUCUGAGAGGAUGGUCAGUCACACUAGAACUGGGACACGGUCCAGACUCCUACGGGAGGCAGCAGUGGGGAAUAUCGGACAAUGGGCGAAAGCCUGAUCCAGCCAUGCCGCGUGUGUGAAGGAGGUCUUCGGAUUGUAAAGCACUUUAAGUUGGGAGGAAGGGCAGUAAGUUAAUACCUUGCUGUUUUGACGUUACCAACAGAAUAAGCACCGGCUAACUUCGUG
Molecule: ribosomal RNA, 484 nt
Filed under: uncultured bacterium
Lineage: Bacteria
Description: partial 16S ribosomal RNA
Rfam family: Bacterial small subunit ribosomal RNA
Source: RNAcentral